UGCUUUUCCAUUUCAAAUAAGUACCAUCGUAUUAAAUGGGACAGGAGAAAGAGAAGUCAAAAAACACUUUUUAUCUGUGAGAGAUACUAGGAUGAAGUAAUGUGGUCCAUUAUGUCUUAGGGUUAUAAGCAUACAGCUCAAGUUUUUCUCUUGUUUCUUUGUCAAUUAAAAAGAAACAAGAGAAAAAUCCAUACAUUCUUUCCUACUAUAGUUAUUGUGAAGAAUUUGUCUGGAUAUUUUGCAAAUACACUAGAGAUCAUUGCAUUUAAGAAGUGGUGUGCAUAUAUGUCAGGGACUUGGAAAUCUGCAUUUUAAGGUUUGUAAAUAUAAAAUUGUUCACUAUUAAAUAAGCUGUAAAAACAACAGUGUUGCAGAAUACUGUAAAGGGAAAACACAGAAACAAUGGUUUAUAUGGGCUUCAUAAGGUAGGACUUAAUUUUUCCUAUUUGAGAAUAUUUUGUGUUGCUUGAGUGAUUGUUCUGUAGGUGCUUGUGCUUGAUGAAUUGAUUCAGCACAUCCCAACUAUUAUCUUCUUCUUUUCUACACACCGAAUCUUAAUAGAUUUGCAUUAGUAACUGAUGACUUUUUGCUGUUAGUUGUGCUGGCAAAGGGUGAUUUAGGAGAGGAUCACAUUCUAGAGCAUGGCCUAUGGCAUAUGGUAAUUGGGUAAUAAAGCAUGGCUCUGUCAGUAGGAAAUAUAAAUGCUGCCAUUCCCUGUUUUUGCAGUUCUUCAGCAAGCUUGUAGAAGUGAAGCAGCCAAUACACUUCAGCAAGACAGAGGAGAAUGUCUUUUCUUCACCCCUCAGGGAAAAGGCUGGUGUUCAUCUGGAUCUCACCCUGCUGUGGGCGGCUGGGCUGUGCAUAGGUAUGUGGGUUUGGAUAAAGCCUUUGGGACUCCUCUAUUGAAAAGAGUCACACC
This 919-nucleotide long non-coding RNA is filed under the name Coturnix japonica (Japanese quail). RNAcentral describes it as "lncRNA (ENSCJPG00005018330.1)". Lineage: Eukaryota; Metazoa; Chordata; Aves; Galliformes; Phasianidae. The record is from RNAcentral.